Molecule: ribosomal RNA, 475 nt
Filed under: uncultured Gemmatimonadota bacterium
Lineage: Bacteria; Pseudomonadati; Gemmatimonadota
Description: bacterial SSU rRNA
Rfam family: Bacterial small subunit ribosomal RNA
Source: RNAcentral
GAGUUUGAUCUUGGCUCAGGACGAACGCUGGCGGCGCGCUUAACACAUGCAAGUCGAACGGGUGGCUUCGGCCAUCAGUGGCGAACGGGUGCGUAACACGUAAGCGACCUGCCUCGAGAUGGGGGAUAACCCCGGGAAACCGGGGCUAACUACCGCAUGCGCUCUUUGAUCUGCAUGGAUUGGAGAGGAAAGCUUCUGCAAGGGAGCGUCUUGAGAGGGGCUUGCGGCGUAUCAGCUGGUUGGUGAGGUAACCGCUCACCAAGGCGAUGACGCGUAGGGGGUCUGAGAGGACGGCCCCCCACAUUGGGACUGAGAUACGGCCCAGACUCCUACGGGAGCAGCAGUGGGGAAUCUUGCGCAAUGGCCGAAAGGCUGACGCAGCGACGCCGCGUGCGGGAGGAAGGUCUUCGGAUCGUAAACCGCUGUCAGGAGGGACGAACGGAUGGGGGAGGCAAUGCCCUUGCGUGACGGUACC